This 479-nucleotide ribosomal RNA is filed under the name uncultured bacterium. Its description in RNAcentral is "partial 16S ribosomal RNA". It matches the Rfam family "Bacterial small subunit ribosomal RNA", at positions 899 to 1397 of the family's 1533-position model. The record is from RNAcentral.
ACUCAAAUGAAUUGACGGGGGCCCGCACAAGCAGCGGAGCGUGUGGAUUAAUUCGAUGCGACGCGAAGAACCUUACCCAGACUUGACAUGGGGCCGCAAGCCGGGGAAACCCGGCCCUCCUUCGGGACGGUUCCACAGAUGUUGCAUGGCUGUCGUCAGCUCGUGUCGUGAGAUGUUGGGUUAAGUCCCGCAACGAGCGCAACCCUCGUGCUGUGUUGCCUAUCACAGCAGACUGCCGGUACAAGCCGGAGGAAGGUGGGGAUGACGUCAAGUCCGCAUGGCUCUUACGUCUGGGGCUUCACACACGCUACAAUGGCCGGGACAAUGCGCAGCCACGCCGCGAGGCGGAGCGAAUCGCAAAACCCGGUCUCAGUUCGGAUCGCAGGCUGCAACUCGCCUGCGUGAAGUCGGAGUUGCUAGUAACCGCGUGACAGCAUAGCGCGGUGAAUAUGUUCCCGGGCCUUGUACACACCGCCCGU